This is an RNA transcript of Hirundo rustica (Barn swallow), 1183 nucleotides long. It is a transcript of the gene named translocase of inner mitochondrial membrane 13, with no coding region annotated. Lineage: Eukaryota; Metazoa; Chordata; Aves; Passeriformes; Hirundinidae. The record is from RefSeq and is a predicted model, not a curated record. The transcript has 4 exons.
GAACUGCAGUCCCGGGCGCCGCCAUUUCUCGCUCCGGCAGCGCAGGGGCCCCGGCCGCGGUGACUCUGGGCAUGGAGAGCGGCUUCGGCUCCGACUUCGGCUCCGGAGGAGGCGGCGGGGGGAAGCUGGACCCGGGGCUCAUCAUGGAGCAGGUGAAGGUGCAGAUCGCCGUGGCCAACGCACAGGAGCUCUUGCAGCGGAUGACGGACAAAUGCUUUCGGAAGUGCAUCGGGAAGCCCGGCGGCGCCCUGGACAACUCCGAGCAGAAGUGCAUCGCCAUGUGCAUGGACCGGUACAUGGACUCCUGGAACACAGUUUCGCGAGCCUACAAUUCUCGGCUGCAGCGGGAGAGAGCCAACAUGUGACGCCUGCCGGCCUCCAGGCCGAGAGGGACCAUGUGGGGAAGGGACAAGCGGCCAGUCCAGGUGGUUAGAGAUGAAUCCCUGAUGAAAGGGCUGCAACAGGCAUGGAAAACGGGCCAAGCCAGCAACACAGUACCCUUGCUUGGGAUUCCAGCAUGGAUCCAUCCAUAAGGUAGUUACCCAGUCCCUCUUCAUUAGUGGAAAAGCAGCCAGAAGAUUAUAUACAUGCCACUUUGGCUCUUUCAUCCCUUAUAUCUGUGUAGUGCCAUGUGGGGCUGUCUUUGGGCUUAGAGGCUUUGACUCAGCUCAAGCACUGUGUUGGGGAGUAGGACAGCCUCUCAAAGUUGUAUGAGCACAGCUAGGAAUGAACAUGUUGGGAAAUAGGUUCUUUUCUUUAUAGAAUAAAGUGUAUUGUGUGGCUGUGAUACUCUGUUGUUUCUGGUUUGACUCUGGCACAGAUGUUCCAUCUUGGAACACUGCUUACACACUGCUCCUGAAAAGGUGGGUUCAUGCUCUAUGGUCAGCAGUGGAUAGAACAGGCGGAAGGGGAGUGUUGGAGGUUAACAGUGCCUUUUUUAAAUCCUUUCUUUUGAAGCUCUUCUGUAUUUUAUAAAAGAUUUCAUGGUUUGCUGGACAGAGAGACAGACUGGAAGAAUGACAUCUCCAUACCUCUAGGACAUUCAGAGGGAUGUGAUAGAACCUAAAGUGUUCUCACACAAGGUAAACUAUGAAGAGAUAUUUGGGUAUUUGGACUUACUGAAACUGGAGUUUCCAGACUGUCAGAAUGACUACUUGAAAAUAAAGUGCUUUCAGACACAUUU